Molecule: ribosomal RNA, 474 nt
Filed under: uncultured bacterium
Lineage: Bacteria
Description: bacterial SSU rRNA
Rfam family: Bacterial small subunit ribosomal RNA
Source: RNAcentral
GAUGAACGCUGGCGGCGUGCCUAAUACAUGCAAGUCGAGCGAAUGGAUUAAGAGCUUGCUCUUAUGAAGUUAGCGGCGGACGGGUGAGUAACACGUGGGUAACCUGCCCAUAAGACUGGGAUAACUCCGGGAAACCGGGGCUAAUACCGGAUAACAUUUUGAACUGCAUGGUUCGAAAUUGAAAGGCGGCUUCGGCUGUCACUUAUGGAUGGACCCGCGUCGCAUUAGCUAGUUGGUGAGGUAACGGCUCACCAAGGCAACGAUGCGUAGCCGACCUGAGAGGGUGAUCGGCCACACUGGGACUGAGACACGGCCCAGACUCCUACGGGAGGCAGCAGUAGGGAAUCUUCCGCAAUGGACGAAAAGUCUGACGGAGCAAACGCCGCGUGAGUGAUGAAGGCUUUUCGGGUCGUAAAACUCUGUUGUUAGGGAAGAACAAGUGCUAGUUGAAUAAGCUGGCACCUUGACGGUACC